UAGUUUGGUAAAAGUACACACUGAGUGCUUCAAAUCAUUCAGAAGAGAUGCUGUUUUUUUAGGGCAGUUUAUAAAGAAGACCUGACAUGGAUGACUUCCAAUGAGAAACGACUGCUAAUACUUAUAUAAAUUCAUUACAGAAGGACCCUACCAGACUAUAUUUGAAUACGGCAUACCCAUGAAUUCUGAACUGUUAUUCCUUAACCCAGUUUGGAGGAUAAGAGCUUACCAACUAGUUAUAAAUAUGCUGAGGCGAUGUAUUGCAAAAUAGCCAACAUACAACAAUUAAAGGAUAAUUGCAGACUAAGUCCUGAUGAAGAUAUGGAUGACCCUCUGUCUGGUCAACAAUAGUUUAAAUAUGGAUGGGACAGUGAUGUGACAGCUCUUCCCUGGCUCAUUCACUUCUUGCCUUCAUUUGUGAAAGGAAGAAAGACUGGAGAGGGUCAAUGUGCAACUGAAGCUACUGAUUGUGCUGUGUAAGUUUUUUGGUAUUUUGUUCUAGUUAUUUAUUCAGCAGUUAGUUUGCUUGCAUUGUUCACCCCAUGUAAAUGCAUACAAGUUCAUAAAUACACAUCAAAUACAUUCAUCAAAUACACUCUUUUAAAACACUUAGGUGAUGAGCAUCAAUCCAUGCUUUGAGGUGGAUGGAUCAGCACAGCCCUGACUGCUCUGCGUUGGGAACAAAAGUUGCAUCCAGAAUUUUUCUGGACCAAAAAGCCAUUCCCUCCAUGAUGAAGACCACUGAUGCAGCCUUCCACUACACCAUGAGUAAAACAACUACAGAACUUAAUACCAGGUUGGAAUGUAUUUAAGAAAAAUGAAAUGUCUUUUGAAUUGAAAUGUUUGUUUUGUUAUGGAAAAAUCUUUAGUAUUGUGAAGGAUAAGCAUUUCUGCUUGCCGAUAAGGUAAUUGCAUGUAUUGUAAUGUUCAAGUUUUGAGUAGGGUGGCUAAUUUUUUUUAACUCUCAUUUGAUUUAUUAAAGACUUUAUAAUAAGUGGUUUUCAUGUCACUGCGCUGUGGUAUAAGAUAACUUUCAUUAUUCCAUAUUGUAUUCUGUUUCUAAUUGUAGCUGAGGUAUUUAAAUAAGCAGUGUUAAAUGCAAAGUGUUGUGUGUAUCAAUGUAAAUAUUAAAUGUGAUGUACUUUAAUAAAAGGAGGUUUUGCAAUAUUUCUUGUCAUUUGUCUUUUAUAGAAACAACCCAUUAGCAACAAAAGUGGCUAUUAGUCAGUAUUUUAACACUUAACAUUGUUGAAUUCACAUUACACUGGUGUUGACCUUAAAUUAUGAGUGUUAAUUUUUAACACUGUAUUUGUGUGCCAACACCAGUGUAGUGUGGAAACAACAAUGAAUAGUGUUGAACAAAGUGUAAAAUUUAACAAUAUUGAGUGUUGAAUUAACAUAUAAUGGGUGUUGUUAAAUUAACACUACACUUUUGACUAA
Non-coding RNA from Misgurnus anguillicaudatus (oriental weatherfish), 1440 nucleotides. The record is from RefSeq and is a predicted model, not a curated record. NCBI's taxonomy places the organism in Eukaryota, Metazoa, Chordata, Actinopteri, Cypriniformes, Cobitidae.